Molecule: ribosomal RNA, 428 nt
Filed under: uncultured bacterium
Lineage: Bacteria
Description: bacterial SSU rRNA
Rfam family: Bacterial small subunit ribosomal RNA
Source: RNAcentral
UGGGGAAUUUUGCGCAAUGGGCUAACGCCUGACGCAGCAACGCCGCGUGGAGGAUGAAGGUCUUUGGAUUGUAAACUCCUGUCAGCAGGGAAAAAGGGAUAGGGCUUAAUACGCCUUAAACUUGAUUGUACCUGCAGAGGAAGCCCCGGCUAACUCUGUGCCAGCAGCCGCGGUAAUACAGAGGGGGCAAGCGUUAUUCGGAAUUAUUGGGCGUAAAGGGCGCGUAGGCGGCUUUUCAAGUGACGGGUGAAAUCCCUCGGCUUAACCGAGGAACUGCCUGUCAGACUGGAAGGCUUGAGACCGGGAGAGGUGAGUGGAAUUCCCAGUGUAGCGGUGAAAUGCGUAGAUAUUGGGAGGAACACCAGUGGCGAAGGCGGCUCACUGGACCGGAACUGACGCUGAGGCGCGAAAGCGUGGGGAGCAAACAG